Molecule: ribosomal RNA, 368 nt
Filed under: uncultured bacterium
Lineage: Bacteria
Description: bacterial SSU rRNA
Rfam family: Bacterial small subunit ribosomal RNA
Source: RNAcentral
ACGUAGGAUCCAAGCGUUGUCCGGAUUUACUGGGUGUAAAGGGUGCGCAGGCGGAUUAGUAAGUCAGAGGUGAAAUCUCGUCGCUCAACGACGAAACUGCCUUUGAUACUAUUAAUCUUGAGUACGGUAGAGAUUUGUGGAAUUCCGAGUGUAGCAGUGAAAUGUGUAGAUAUUCGGAAGAACACCAGAGGCGAAGGCAGCAAAUUGGGCCGAUACUGACGCUCAGGCACGAAAGCAUGGGGAUCAAACAGGAUUAGAUACCCUGGUAGUCCAUGCCCUAAACGAUGUACACUUGAUAUCUGCCCUCAGGGUAGGUGUCGUAGCUAACGCGUUAAGUGUACCACCUGGGGAGUACGCUCGCAAGGGUG